UACUGGAAAAAUCACCCAGGAGGCAGCGUGGACAAUGGAUUGGAGAAGGGCGAACAUUCAGUCAGAGACUUUGCUUACUGUAAAUUAGAGGGAGCAAAUUGGAGGAGAAAUGACAAAAGAAACAGAAAAAAUGUUUAAUCAGACAAAGGAACUAAAAAACCUCAGUCUUAAUUAGAAGAUGGUCAAACAAAUCUCUUAACUGAUGUUCACAAUGAUGGUUUCAAGUCAUCUAAGGAAUGGCUGGCUCUUGGAUGGAUGUUUGGCUGAAACAUUUUACCAUCCUGGACACCAUGCUUACUUUAAAUGAUUCCAGGAAUUUGCAGAAUGUGGAGAUAACAUCUGUUACCAAGGUCAAGUUUUUAGAUGGCUUCCGUGAGUUCACAGGCUCACUAG
Molecule: long non-coding RNA, 393 nt
Organism: Homo sapiens (human)
Lineage: Eukaryota; Metazoa; Chordata; Mammalia; Primates; Hominidae
Source: Ensembl